UCGGCGAAAUCGCUCGCCGAUAGUGCGUGCCGGUAACGGGAACGCAGUGAGGUCUUGCCGGGCCAAUUCUGCGGCUGUCCCUGCAACUGUAAGCGGCGAGCGCGUGACAUGAGUGGGGUUCGCUCCACGACCACUGGGCGGCGAUGUCCGUCUGGGAAGGUAUGUCGCGUGCAGUGACCCGUGAGCCAGGAGACCGACCGGUGCGUGUCGCUCUUG
This is a non-coding RNA of Erythrobacter litoralis HTCC2594, 216 nucleotides long. The record is from Rfam. Lineage: Bacteria; Pseudomonadati; Pseudomonadota; Alphaproteobacteria; Sphingomonadales; Erythrobacteraceae.